Molecule: ribosomal RNA, 217 nt
Filed under: uncultured bacterium
Lineage: Bacteria
Description: partial 16S ribosomal RNA
Rfam family: Bacterial small subunit ribosomal RNA
Source: RNAcentral
UAACCUGCCUGGUAGCGGGGGAUAACUAUUGGAAACGAUAGCUAAUACCGCAUAAGAGUAGAUGUUGCAUGACAUUUGCUUAAAAGGUGCAAUUGCAUCACUACCAGAUGGGCCUGCGUUGUAUUAGCUAGUUGGUGAGGUAACGGCUCACCAAGGCGACGAUACAUAGCCGACCUGAGAGGGUGAUCGGCCACACUGGGACUGAGACACGGCCCAG